CUUGCUUCACUCUGAUGACGACCGGCGGAUGGGUGAGUAACGCGUAUGCAACUUGCCUCUUAGUGGGGGAUAACCCGGAGAAAUCCGGACUAAUACCGCAUAUUCUUAAUUUCUCGCAUGAGUUAUUAAGGAAAGAUUUAUUGCUAAGAGAUAGGCAUGCGUUCCAUUAGUUAGUUGGUGAGGUAACGGCUCACCAAGGCAUCGAUGGAUAGGGGAGCUGAGAGGCUGAUCCCCACAUUGGGACUGAGACACGGCCCAAACUCC
This 264-nucleotide ribosomal RNA is filed under the name uncultured Porphyromonas sp. RNAcentral's name for it is "partial 16S ribosomal RNA". It matches the Rfam family "Bacterial small subunit ribosomal RNA", at positions 100 to 339 of the family's 1533-position model. Lineage: Bacteria; Pseudomonadati; Bacteroidota; Bacteroidia; Bacteroidales; Porphyromonadaceae. The record is from RNAcentral.